Molecule: small nucleolar RNA, 69 nt
Organism: Trypanosoma brucei brucei
Lineage: Eukaryota; Euglenozoa; Kinetoplastea; Trypanosomatida; Trypanosomatidae
Rfam family: Trypanosomatid snoRNA TB10Cs3H2
Source: Rfam
CGCCAGCAGCCGCCCCGGGCAGGAUGGCGCCCGUGUCCCUGGCGUGACGUCUAAUCGGUGCGGCGAGAU